This 429-nucleotide ribosomal RNA is filed under the name Actinomycetes bacterium. RNAcentral's name for it is "Actinobacteria bacterium partial 16S ribosomal RNA". It matches the Rfam family "Bacterial small subunit ribosomal RNA", at positions 355 to 776 of the family's 1533-position model. Lineage: Bacteria; Bacillati; Actinomycetota; Actinomycetes. The record is from RNAcentral.
UAGGGAAUCUUCCGCAAUGGGCGAAAGCCUGACGGAGCAACGCCGCGUGAGUGAUGAAGGUCUUCGGAUCGUAAAACUCUGUUAUUAGGGAAGAACAAAUGUGUAAGUAACUAUGCACGUCUUGACGGUACCUAAUCAGAAAGCCACGGCUAACUACGUGCCAGCAGCCGCGGUAAUACGUAGGUGGCAAGCGUUAUCCGGAAUUAUUGGGCGUAAAGCGCGCGUAGGCGGUUUUUUAAGUCUGAUGUGAAAGCCCACGGCUCAACCGUGGAGGGUCAUUGGCAACUGGAAAACUUGAGUGCAGAAGAGGAAAGUGGAAUUCCAUGUGUAGCGGUGAAAUGCGCAGAGAUAUGGAGGAACACCAGUGGCGAAGGCGACUUUCUGGUCUGUAACUGACGCUGAUGUGCGAAAGCGUGGGGAUCAAACAGG